Molecule: long non-coding RNA, 1054 nt
Filed under: Homo sapiens (human)
Lineage: Eukaryota; Metazoa; Chordata; Mammalia; Primates; Hominidae
Description: HSALNT0023309
Source: RNAcentral
AAAGCUCCGCCUCCCAGGUUCACGCCAUUCUCCUGCCUCAGCCUUCCAAGCAGCUGGGAUCACAGGCGCCCACCACCACGCCCGGCUAACUUUUUUGUAUUUUUAGUAGAGACUGGGUUUCACCGUGUUAGCCAGGAUGGUCUCGAUCUCCUGACCUCGUGAUUCGCCCGCCUCAGCCUCCCGAAGUGCUGGAAUUACAGGCGUGAGCCAACGCGCCCGGCCAGUGGAUCAUCUUUUGAUUUCCCGAAAGGAUUUACAGAAAACUCCCCUGGACUAUGUGAAACUAUCCCGGUUCACAGAUAGCUCAUACCUGCAGGAUGAUCGCGGUGAAUAUCCUGCAGGUCAUGCUACGCCCACUUGCUUUGAGGUUGGGAAAGCAGCCUCUUGACCUUCAGCCACUUGAGCCCAGCAGGUGGAGCUAUUUGCCCUCACUGGAGCCUGCUUUCUCGCUAAGGGGAAAUCUGCUAACCAUUACACAGAUAGCAGACACAUCUCAAUUCCUGCGUGGCAGGCCAAGAAUAAAAUAAAGGAGAACGCAGCACACCAUUCCCACUGGUCAAGUGGUCGAACCCAACAUCCAAGACCCAGCCAGCAGCCAAGCUCAGCGCAACCUCCCGACCUCUGACUCUGACUGCAACAGGGUGAGCACAUCGCCCUCGCACACGGGGCCUUUUACAUUGUGGAUGAUGGAGCGGCUCGCAUCCUCCAUAAAUUCCAUGCACACCUGCGACCACUGUCCUUUAGAGCCCAUUCUGCCCAGAAGCUUGGUGACCCUGACCAGCUUGAUAGGCUGCAUGUGGCUGGUGUCCAUGAUGGCAGUGCGGCGGCAGUUGGGUGAAGAUAAUACUUAUGUUUGCUGGUUUAUUAAGAAGGGUAUUUUUAAGGAUACAAAUCAACAGCCAGAUGAAGAGACGCAUAGGGCGAAGUCUGGAAGGGUCCUAAGCGCAGGAGCUUCUGUCCUCAUGGAGUUGGGGUGCAACACCCUCCCAGCCUGUGGAUGAGUUCUUCUUCACCUUUCUCUCAGCCUCCACAUGUUCAGCUCUCUGGAUGCCCC